GUGUUGAGGAAGAUAAUGACGGUACUCAACAAGGAAGUGACGGCUAACUACGUGCCAGCAGCCGCGGUAAAACGUAGGUCACAAGCGUUGUCCGGAAUUACUGGGUGUAAAGGGAGCGCAGGCGGGAAGACAAGUUGGAAGUGAAAUCCAUGGGCUCAACCCAUGAACUGCUUUCAAAACUGUUUUUCUUGAGUAGUGCAGAGGUAGGCGGAAUUCCCGGUGUAGCGGUGGAAUGCGUAGAUAUCGGGAGGAACACCAGUGGCGAAGGCGGCCUACUGGGCACCAACUGACGCUGAGGCUCGAAAGUGUGGGUAGCAAACAGGAUUAGAUACCCUGGUAGUCCACACUGUAAACGAUGAUUACUAGGUGUUGGAGGAUUGACCCCUUCAGUGCCGCAGUUAACACAAUAAGUAAUCCACCUGGGGAGUACGACCGCAAGGUUGAAACUCAAAGGAAUUGACGGGGGCCCGCACAAGCAGUGGAGUAUGUGGUUUAAUUCGACGCAACGCGAAGAACCUUACCAAGUCUUGACAUCCUGCGACGGUGCUGGAAACAGUACUUUCCUUCGGGACGCAGAGACAGGUGGUGCAUGGUUGUCGUCAGCUCGUGUCGUGAGAUGUUGGGUUAAGUCCCGCAACGAGCGCAACCCUUAUGGUCAGUUACUACGCAAGAGGACUCUGGCCAGACUGCCGUUGACAAA
This 700-nucleotide ribosomal RNA is filed under the name Faecalibacterium prausnitzii. RNAcentral describes it as "bacterial SSU rRNA". It matches the Rfam family "Bacterial small subunit ribosomal RNA", at positions 436 to 1162 of the family's 1533-position model. The record is from RNAcentral. Lineage: Bacteria; Bacillati; Bacillota; Clostridia; Eubacteriales; Oscillospiraceae.